UUGGACUUGAGAAGUAAAGGAAUCAUAAAAACUAUGAAUUCUUUGUGUGUUGAAGAAUCAAGCCUGGAUGAUAAAUUUGGGAGGAUCCACAGCCCAUUCUACAGCUUGCAUGAUACCCAAGGAUUACAGCAUUUACCAAAGCUGCCUGCCUUCUGGUACUCAUUUUCUAUGGCUGAUCCAUGGCUGGUCACAAACCAUUCUGGUACGCCACAAGUAGAGGACUCCUGAUGUCACAAACUCUCCAAGAAAUAGCUUCCGUGAAGAACUCUGAGUAGCCAGCCUGGGGGCCCCUGAAGUGUCAGUGAUGUGUGACAGACAGCUCCUCUCCUGCUUGGCUCCUGGGGGAAAAGGGCGAUACUGCUGAGCAGGAAGUCCAAGGGGCAAUGUCCCAAACAACAUCAACAUCAUUCUUGCUCAUCAACUAACUAGCAUUUCCUGACAGUGCCCCGCACCCACCGUAUCACUUCUGUUCAUUUUGCCAUUUCUCAUUCCGUGGUUGUCGCAACAGUUGCUCAUAGAAUCAAGGAAAAGUUCAUGUUAUUAAACAAGGCAUUAUUACUCUUCAGUGCCUAUCCAUUGAUCUUAUUAACUACCUAUCAUCUGUCUGUAACU
Molecule: long non-coding RNA, 612 nt
Filed under: Ictidomys tridecemlineatus (thirteen-lined ground squirrel)
Lineage: Eukaryota; Metazoa; Chordata; Mammalia; Rodentia; Sciuridae
Description: lncRNA (ENSSTOG00000033226.1)
Source: RNAcentral